GGAAUAUUGCGCAAUGGGCGACAGCCUGACGCAGCGACGCCGCGUGGGGGAUGAAGGUUUUCGGAUUGUAAACCCCUUUUGUGAGGAAAGAUAAGGUAGGUAACUGCCUAGACGGUACCUCAAGAAAAAGCCACGGCUAACUUCGUGCCAGCAGCCGCGGUAAUAAGAAGGUGGCGAGCGUUGUUCGGAUUCGCUGGGCGUAAAGAGCACGUAGGCGGUUGGGUAAGCCUCCUGGGAAAUCUCUCGGCUUAACCGGGAAAGUUCGGGGGGAACUACUCAGCUAGAGGGCAGGAGAGGAGCGCGGAAUUCCCGGUGUAGCGGUGAAAUGCGUAGAUAUCGGGAAGAAGGCCGGUGGCGAAAGCGGCGCUCUGGAACGUACCUGACGCUGAGGUGCGAAAGCGUGGGGAGCAAAC
This 413-nucleotide ribosomal RNA is filed under the name uncultured bacterium. RNAcentral describes it as "bacterial SSU rRNA". It matches the Rfam family "Bacterial small subunit ribosomal RNA", at positions 358 to 773 of the family's 1533-position model. The record is from RNAcentral.